Molecule: ribosomal RNA, 207 nt
Filed under: uncultured bacterium
Lineage: Bacteria
Description: partial 16S ribosomal RNA
Rfam family: Bacterial small subunit ribosomal RNA
Source: RNAcentral
UGUGUAGGUGUCUUUUCAAGUCGGAUGUGAAAUCCCUUGGCUCAACCAAGGAACUGCAUUCGAUACUGUUAAGAUUGAGCUUUGGAGAGGUGAGCGGAAUUCCAGGUGUAAGGGUGAAAUCUGUAGAUAUCUGGAGGAACACCAGUGGCGAAGGCGGCUCACUGGCCAAAAGCUGACACUGAGACACGAAAGCUAGGGGAGCAAACA